Pyrus x bretschneideri (Chinese white pear) is the source of this 549-nucleotide long non-coding RNA. RefSeq lists it as uncharacterized. Lineage: Eukaryota; Viridiplantae; Streptophyta; Magnoliopsida; Rosales; Rosaceae. The transcript is spliced from 3 exons. The record is from RefSeq and is a predicted model, not a curated record.
CUCUUCUCUUCCUGUAACCUCAUCUUUCUCUCCCUCCUCUUCUUCUCUCUUUCUUUCUCUCGUGUGACCCCCGGACCUCUCUCUCCCUCUGUGAUCUCUCCCUCUUUCUCAAGUUUGUCACUCACAUAAGCAAUAACCCCAAACCAACACCACUGGACAUAUGAACCUCGGGAAAACUCAAGCAAACCUUCAUGACUGUUCAUCACUUCUCUGACAUGUUUCGUGUUUUUUUUACGUUGAAAAUGGCUCGGAGUAGUUUUUCCAAAUUUUCCAGCGAGCACCAUCCCUUCCGAGGAAAUUUCCGGCCAAACCACGGCGAGUUGGCUGAUGUGCAAAUGCGACUACUAAAGCUACAGUACUUGGAACGAUAAAGGUACCCACAAGCACAGUGAAGAUUCCUCGUGCUGUUACUGAAAUUGGCAGUUUUCCAUUUCUAGCUAAAUUCCGAGAGCCGAGAAAACCUUGUAAACUUGACAGAAAUGGAACCCUGCCAAACUCCCAAUCCCAUGCAACAUAAUUAUUUAAUAAACUUACUUGUAGGCUUCAGUU